This 443-nucleotide ribosomal RNA is filed under the name uncultured bacterium. RNAcentral's name for it is "partial 16S ribosomal RNA". It matches the Rfam family "Bacterial small subunit ribosomal RNA", at positions 338 to 795 of the family's 1533-position model. The record is from RNAcentral.
ACUACGGGUGGCAGCAGUGGGGGAUAUUGGACAAUGGGGGAAACCCUGAUCCAGCGACGCCGCGUGAGUGAAGAAGUAUUUCGGUAUGUAAAGCUCUAUCAGCAGGGAAGAAAGAAAUGACGGUACCUGAGUAAGAAGCCCCGGCUAACUACGUGCCAGCAGCCGCGGUAAUACGUAGGGGGCAAGCGUUAUCCGGAAUUACUGGGUGUAAAGGGAGCGUAGACGGUAAUGCAAGUCUGGAGUGAAAGGCGGGGGCUCAACCCCCGGACUGCUCUGGAAACUGUGUAACUGGAGUGCAGGAGAGGCAGGCGGAAUUCCUAGGGUAGCGGUGAAAUGCGUAGAUAUUAGGAGGAACACCAGUGGCGAAGGCGGCCUGCUGGACUGUAACUGACGUUGAGGCUCGAAAGCGUGGGGAGCAAACAGGAUUAGAUACCCGUGUAGUC